CACGUAGGGGACGAGCGUUGUCCGGAUUUAUUGGGCGUAAAGAGCUCGUAGGCGGUCUGUCACGUCGGCUGUGAAAUCCCGAGGCUCAACCUCGGGUCUGCAGUCGAUACGGGCAAACUAGAGUAUUGCAGGGGAGACUGGAAUUCCUGGUGUAGCGGUGAAAUGCGCAGAUAUCAGGAGGAACACCGGUGGCGAAGGCGGGUCUCUGGGCAAUAACUGACGCUGAGGAGCGAAAGCGUGGGGAGCGAACAGG
This 253-nucleotide ribosomal RNA is filed under the name uncultured bacterium. RNAcentral's name for it is "partial 16S ribosomal RNA". It matches the Rfam family "Bacterial small subunit ribosomal RNA", at positions 524 to 776 of the family's 1533-position model. The record is from RNAcentral.